CUGCUUGUGCCUUCAAGCUGGGCUGUGAGCUGGGGCUGGCUUGAAGGCCACUCUCAGCCUCCAAGGGGGUGCAGCUGGGGCUUCUCGGCCCUGGGCUUAAGGCCAUGGCUACAGUCAAGCCAUUUCCCAGUAGGAAGUAAAGCACUUAAAUCUGGGUUGUUUUCUUCUCAAGCUGUAAACUCAGCACUAGAUGACAAAUCGCAGCACCCCCACAUCCUGCCUGCCUGGCCUCCCACGCCUCACUCACGUGGCAAUCUCCAGAUAGUGAUGGGGAUUCCCGAGGGCAUGCAGGGGCCAGAUGCCCACUUGUGCCCUGUGCCUGGGUGAGUGAGGUGUGCAAGGUGGGCCUCUGUUCUGCUGCCAGCCCAGCCAAUGAUGGCAAGGACAGAGGGUUCAAAGCUCUGACCCCCAUUGUAAACAGGGGGCAGAGGAGCCGCCCACCUGAGCAGCAUCAGAUCCAUGCAAAGUGCCAGGUGGAGGUGAAACACAGCCAGCGACACGACUGUUGGUAUUUCGGGUCAACUCACCUUGAGCUGGAGGGAGCAGUCAGCCUCCAAGAAGGCACGACGUGACACAGUCCAGACCCCUUGCCCGCCUCUGCUGGCCUUUCCUCAUCAGCAAAAUGUGGAGAUAACAGCGCCUACCUAAUUGGGAUGCUGUGAGGAUUGAGAGAAUACACAGAAACAGCUUAGAACACUACCUCAAUUGUUCUACACACACCUGAGUUGGCAAGUGUGUGAAGUAACCUCCUCCGAGUCCUGGACUGUGGACAGUGAUGCCACCUUUUGGCACAACUCCCCUAGAAUUUAAGGAGACCAAGACAUUGUGAAAACCAAGUGUCUCCCACCUUGCCAGGACCUAUAAAGUCAAGGGCGGUGCUGGCAUAUUUUGUUCCUGUGACAGGGGCUGAUGAGGUCACUGUGGGAAUCACAGCAAGUCCAAGUCCAUGAGGCUUAGGGAGAAGGCUGUGCAUCACCCUCAUGGGCCGGGAGCUCCAGGAACAGCUUUCCCAGAUUUACGCUGAGGGAGUCCUGAAUCCAGGAAGGAGGUUCCAUGGCCACCUGGCACCAUGUGUCAAUCUCCCAGGUCUGUGAGUACUCUGGUCUCAGCCAGCUGAGGAAGCCGUGGGUCAACAUGAAAAUGCACACCCAGGAAGCCAUCUGCCCCAAGGAGUGAGUAGCUGCUGGACUAGUCCUCUCCUACACAUGGCUGAUACCAGGUGAUCUGUGAAUCUGGCGUCACAUGCUCCCUCAAUCCCGGAGCCAUCCUGUGAAAGAAAUGGGCCAAGGUUCAAAGGCCAUCUACAGAGAGGACCUCCCCCUGGGCCCCAGGAGCCCUGUGCUCUCUGGCAGGCACAACCUAGUACUCAUUUCAAAGGUGUGGAAACAGUCUGGGAAGUUAUGUGACUUUUCAUCCCCAUGAGCGGGGGAUCUGUUGACAAACCUGUUUUUCCUCUCAUCUGUGCUCUCUUUGUUGGUUGAUGUCGAGGGGCAGGGUGACUCUUUGGUCCCCUUCCCCCAUUCCAAAGAUCCCCUGCAGGAAGAGGAGAGGAAACAGCAUAUGCUGUCUCAGUGCAGGCUGCUAUUACAAAACUAUCAUAGACUGGGAGGCUUAAACAACAAACAUUUAUUUUUCACUGUUCUGGAGGUUGGAAAGUACAAGACAAAGGCACCAGCAGUUUGGUGUCUGGUGAAGACCUGCUCCCUGGUUCACAGAUGGCGCCUUCUGGCUGUGUCUCCACAUGGUGGAAGAGAUGACCAAGUCCCCUGGGGUCCCUUUAUUAAGGGCACUAAUCCCAUUCAUGAGGAUUCUUCCCUCACGACCUAAUCAUUUCCCAAUGGCCCCACCUUCAAAUACCAUGGCAUUAAUACCUUGGGCAUUAGGAUUUUAACAUAUGAAUUUGAGGGAUACAAACAUUGGGUACAUACCACAUGCUGACACCAUUUGCCAUGAUGCAGUCACACUCAGUACCUCCCAAGUAUCAUCUGCAUACACCUGGCUGAGGAGAAAACAAUUAGAAAGGUAACACCAGGGGCCCUCCUGGUGAUGGAACUGCUCUGUAUCUCGACUGUGGCAGUCACAUGAUUGGACACAUGAUAAAAUUGCAUGGAACCAAACACACACACACAAAUGAGUGCAUGUGAGCCUGAUGAAAUUUGAAUAAAGUCGAUCCUUGGAUCAAUGUGAAUUUCUGGUUAUGACAGCUAUUCUUAUGUAAGAUGUUACCACUAGGGGAAACUGGAGAAUCUCUGUAAUAUUUCUUACCACUGCAUGUGAACCUACAACUCUCUAAAAAUAUUUUUUAAUUGAAAAAAAUUAAUUCUCACACUCCAAAGUGCAUUUAAUUUAAGCUACUUUAGUAAAUAGGCAGCUGAAGCCCAGGAGGGGCUCCUCCGUCUUUGCUGCUGUCCCCUCCUGGCACCUGUGGCUGCAGGUGAGUGCCAGGAGGAGCAUUUCAACAGGGGGAGCCCCGGGGAGAGGGCUGGGCUGGGACUUGCUAAUGCUGGUCUUCAAGGAGAACCUAGGAGUGAGUCAGGGCUGGGAGUGAGUCUGCAGGAGGAGCCCUCUGGAGGCCCAGGGGUACCCAUGUGGGAGCUGUCUCUCAGCUGGGCAGAGACCUGGCUCCAGUCCCAUGGGGGCAGAAGAGGUGGACAGCACAAUCUCCUUCAGUCCAGCUGGUGGCCAGUUCUCUAAACCCUCUGAUAAAGAGAGGCUCGGAUCUCAACAUUCACUGCCUCUCAGGGUGGAGAAAGGAAGAUUCAAAGUGGGAAUGAGGGAAUGCUAUACUUACUAUAAGCAACCAAAAUGUAUGUUGUGAAAAAGUGUUUUUUAAUUGAUGUGUUUUUUUCUAUUACAGAUUCCAAAAUAUUAAAAUUUUGAUUUUUCCUAUUUUGAGGCAAGUAUGUACUCCAUCUUCUUAACCCUUAAUUAGUGUUUUAUCAGAACAUCAUAAUUUUAAUCCCAGGGUCAGGUGUGUUUGGGAGGUGCUGACCAGAGCUAACUUAGCAGCUCCUGCAGGAGAGGCCUUCAUGGUGCUGCCAGCUCUACUCCAGUCCCUCUCUUGCUCUAAGUUCUCUGCCACUCAAGACUGCCCAUUCCUUCCCAGGUCCCAGCUCUCCCUAUAGUUUCUCUCAUGUGCAGAGCCAUGACUUGCAGUGGCAAUCGGCUGGGCCCAUGGAUGCCAUGUGAUGCCUUAGCUUUUCUUACAGCUCAGUCUUGGGAGUGCAAGAGAGACAAUAAUUGACUGAAAAAUCAUGUGGCUCUCUGGUCUGAGGUUCAGAAAUCUUUCAAUUGUGCUUACGGAAGCAUGGCUUCCCCUUGUGGAGGUUGUUAUUGUUGUCAGUGGUGGGGUGUGUGUGUGUGUGUGUGUAUGCACCCGUGUGCACACAUACAUUAUGUUUUGUUUGAGAUUUUAAUACUUGAAGCAGGAAUUAGCAAGAUCAGACACCAUUUCCUUUCACUGAGAGUUAGCCAGGCUUGAUUCCUUCCCGGAGCUACAUUCUUUCUCCCUUGGUCCAGGGAAAACUUCUCAGAUUGGGUUCCUGGUUGAUGUGAAGUGUAAACACGAUGCAAAAAGGAGACUCCUGGCUUCAGUGUAUUCAUCAAGAAUUAUUGGCAUAACCAUUACCAAUUAAAACAUACAAGGUUUCCCAGAUAUUCUUACCUGAUCAUAUUACAAGACAGCCAUUUAAAACUGCCCUAAGGCCAUCAGUCUAAGCAAAAGCAACCAAUCUAAGAAGCAAAAAGUAACACAUACUGGAAUCCCAUGCUAUGUGAUGACAUGGAGAAGUUCGUAACAUACACAAACCAAGGGUUCUUAGGGGGGAUAUGGCCUGUUGAGGGGCAUUAGGUUGCAGUCUUGGUUGAUCCAAUUUAAACACCUGGGUUGAUACAGAAUUCUGAUUUUCUAGGCCUUGAUAUUUGCUACAAGCGAGUAUUUCUGCAUAACUUGGGUCACUUUUUCCUCAUGGUUACCUGACCAGUCUGUUCACUGUGAACAUUGCCUACUGUGUCCACCUAUCAUGGAGAAGACCUGAAAUUCCACUGUGAGGACUCUAGAAUCACAGGUCAGGAGACAAGUAAUCUUUCCAGCAAAGAAGUUUCUCAACCUUCUGGUAAACAUAGUACAGGGAAUUUUAAAACUUCUGUUUGGUCCUCUAAGACUUUGGUCCAGACUUUGGCUUUGAAUUUAAGACUUAAUAGGGGCUACCCUGGAAAAUUAAAGAACCCCAGCUAGGAAGUUGUCAUAAGGGAUGCACUUACUUUGGGGACACUUGUAUGAGAUCAUCAGGUAUGGCAUCACCAAAGAACUCUCCAGCCCACCUACAACCGUUCUCCCUCAAGGCCAACACUGGUAAGAGCAGGCACAGACAGGGAGGGUUGAAUCACCAGGAUCAGCACCAGACAGCAUAUUCUCUCUAAAAUCUACCAAUGUGGGAAGAGCCAGAAGGGUGGAUUCAAUCCAGAUGCCCAGGGAAAUCAGAUCCCAACACCAGGUCAAGGGGAGGAACUGGGAGGCAUAAGCAGGACGCGAAAGCCAAGAGAAAACCCAGUGGAUCUGGAACAGCAGUGAGGAGGCUCCCAGUGAAAAAAAAUUUUUUUUUUUUUUUUUUUUUUAAACGGAAUCUUGCUCUGUCGCCCAGGCUGGAGUGCAGUGGCACGAUCUCAGCUCACUGCAAACUCUGCCUCCCAGGUUCAAGCGAUUCUCCUGUCUCAGCCUCCCGAGUAGCUGGGAUUACAGGCGUGUGCCACCACGCCUGGCUAAUUUUUGUAUUUUUAGUAGAGACAGGGUUUCACCGUGUUAGCCAGGAUGGUCUCAAUCUCCUGACCUCAUUAUCCGCCCACCUUGGUCUCCCAAGGUGCCCAGUGAAAAUUUAAAGCAGCAUUGCACGUGUUGAUCGUAGAAUAUACAGUAUUUGGGCAGGUAAGGUUGACUGAAAGGUAUCAGUUAAGAAGAACAAGCUUUGAAAGCUUAGUCUAGGUUUUGUGGGUUUGUUUGUUUGUUGGUCCAGUAGGACUGGGCCAUUUUAGAUUUGUCUGUUCUUUCAUAAACACUUAUAUUUGCAAUGAGAGAGACAUUAUGCUGGGCUCUGGGAAAAUAAUGGUAAAUAAGGUAUAGGACCUGAUUGAAGGAAAUUAUAAUUUAGUAGCAAAGAUUAAAAAUGGAAACACAAUUGCAAUGUGAUGUUUUAAGUUUGGUAUUAAUGGAAAGUUCUAGGUGCAAUUGAAGUAUCUAGGAAAGGUAGUCUUGGAAUAAAGACAGGAAAGGUUUAGCAGAGGAGACAGCUAAAGCACAAAUAAAUAAUUAGAAGAAGAUGGUCAGGUGAACUGGGGAGUGCAUUCUAAGAAAAUGGUCACCAUGUACUCUGAGGCUUUCUCAAGCAGCCCCUCAGCUGAUUCUCUGGACUCCUGGACAUAGUCCACUCUGCUGUGCACAUGCAGAAGGCAGGCAAAGCUCCUGCUUCCUGGGCCACUCUGGCUGUACCUCCCCACCUAAUGUGAGCUGGAUGCUUGUCAGGGGUCUGUCUUCAUUUUCCUCAUAUCUAUUUAUAACUCUUAUACUUGUUAUCAAAGUUAUUUAAUAUAAGUAAAUUUAUUCAAACCAAUGAGAUAUGGGUACAAAUGAGUUGUCAUUCCUGUGAAAAUUAUUUUUUUAUUUUGUAGCUAGUUUUAUUUUUAUUUAUUUAUUUUAUUAUUUUUCCAUAAGUUAUUGGGGUACAGGUGGUAUUUGGUUACAUGAGUAAGUUCUUUAGUGGUGAUUUGUGAGAUUUUGGUGCACCCACCACCUGAGCAGUAUACACUGCCCCCUAUUUGCAGUCUUUUGUCCCUCGCUACCCUACUUUUACGCCCAAUCCCCCAAAGUCCAUUGUAUCAUUCUUAGGCCUUUGCGUCCUCAUAGCUUAGUUCCCACAUAUCAGUGAGAACAUAAAAUGUUUGGUUUUCCAUUCCUGAGUUACUUCAUUUAGAAUAAUCAUCUCCAAUCGUGUCCAAGUCGCUGCAAAUGCUAUUAAUUCUUUCCUUUUUAUGGCUGAGUAGUAUUCAAUCAUAUAUAUACACCACAGUUCCUUUAUCCACUCAUUGAUUGAUGGCAUUUGGGUUGGUUCCAUGAUUUUGCAACUGUGAAUGUGCUGCUAUAAACAUGCAUGUGCAAGUAUUCUUUGUGUAUAAUGACUUCUUUUCCUCUGGGUAAAUACCCAGAAGAAAUCCCUGUGAAAAAUUAAAUUGCAAGUGUGGAAAGACUUAUUGAGCAUAGCCACUAAAAAAUAAUGCUACCAAAUUCAGUGUUUCCAAGUAGCUGUAACUUAUUGGGGAACUAAAAUGGGAAAUAGCCACUAAAAUUCUACAAUCAGAAUGCUUGGCAAUUGUUUUAAAGUUCUGAGUCCGUUUUAAAAAAGCUAACAAUGGAAUGUAUAGAGGAUGCAGCUUAGACAUGCAUUAUGCAAGAGGGACAUCAUGGGAUGCCUACUGGGCCCACACCUCAGAGAGGCUUUUGCUUUAUGUCACAAGAUUAGUAACCAAAUAUUCAUGUAUAUGUUUUA
Molecule: long non-coding RNA, 6539 nt
Filed under: Homo sapiens (human)
Lineage: Eukaryota; Metazoa; Chordata; Mammalia; Primates; Hominidae
Description: HSALNT0357606
Source: RNAcentral